CAGCUUCCAUGAUUCAGCAGCAGGACUGAAGGUCAGCCUCUUGUCUAUUAAUAUUUAAACAGCCAAGAGUAGCUAAAGAGGAGAAGCUUAGAUGCUCAUUGAUUCUUCCAGAGAGAUUCAAAAUUGGUUAUGCAAAAUAGCAAAAUCUACAUAUGAAGCUGAUUUUCUUUUACUUUCAUGAAUUAGCAGAUCAGAAAUAAAUGAAAUUUUCAAAUAUCAGACUGGAAACAACGCUCAGAAUUCCUAUUUUUUCCAUAAAGAAACAUUUAAAAGGAAAGCGUGCAGAGCCAAGCCUGACUUCAGCCAGUCAGAGAUUCUACAGACUGAGGUUAUGUCAGGCCAUUCCUUAGGUAGAAUGUGGCUAUGAAUAUCAAUUUUCAUUUUGGAAGUAUCACAGGAGAAGCACUCCUCCAAUGAUAAUGUUUUCUGUGUGAAUGCUACUGCCCUUCCUGUCCCUGGUUCACAGGUUAUUAACUUUGGCUGCUGUCCAGAUCCACCUGCUGCUGUACCAGGAAAGCUUGGUACAGUGGCCAACCAGGAGGCCUAAAUCCCAGAGGAGUGGCUCUCUAAAAGAACAAAGGCUUCUAGCAGAAAGUCCCUGUUAAUGCACAAACUACAGCUGACUGUGGGCAAAGGGAAAAUACGUGUUUAUAUUGGCAGUAUGAAGGGAUUUAUUUUACACAGAAGCUAAAAUGAAAAUUUGUGGUUGAAAAUCACUCAAUAAAAUCAAAUUAGAAUAGA
Molecule: long non-coding RNA, 741 nt
Organism: Neopelma chrysocephalum (saffron-crested tyrant-manakin)
Lineage: Eukaryota; Metazoa; Chordata; Aves; Passeriformes; Pipridae
Exons: 3
Source: RefSeq, a predicted model, not a curated record